This 61-nucleotide microRNA precursor is filed under the name Pristionchus pacificus. RNAcentral's name for it is "mir-8364 microRNA precursor family". It matches the Rfam family "mir-8364 microRNA precursor family". Lineage: Eukaryota; Metazoa; Nematoda; Chromadorea; Rhabditida; Neodiplogasteridae. The record is from Rfam by way of RNAcentral.
UCUUCGUUUCACGUGCUCUCUCGCCUCGCUGACCGGCGAGAGAGUGUGUGAAAUGAAGAGA